UUAGUGUCCAAAGGAUAUAUCCACAGGCAUGUUUGCCCGUCUUCGCAGGCGCUUUGGGAGAGUUGAUGUUGGCUGAGAAGAGUCUAGAGUGAAGCAAACAAAACCUAAAGGUAAUGAUGGACACAGGACGUGGUCAUGUGGAAUGUGGAAGACCUGCAGACAAACGUCAUCCCCUGAAACUGUCCUAAACAAGGUGCAGGCCAAUGAGGAAGAGGAGAGGCUGAAUAGAGAACUGGAGCUAACUACCAAGGAGAGAAAUGAGCUGACAGAUCGCCUCCUUUAUGUGACAGGUGGAUCCAUGAACAAGAGCCCCUACUUCAGGCCAAAUCCAUUUUAUGAAAAAUUGAAGAUAAAGGAGAAAGAAGUCAUGUCAUUACUGCACAACUUAGACAUAAAUAACAUUGAACAUCGUGAGAAAUUUCAGGAGCUCAAGAAGGAGAUCCACUUCUAUCGCAACCUGCACAGCCGGCUCCUGAUGGAUCAGGCAUGUAUGAAGAAGAAGUUGGUCACAUUGAAGCAGGAGUGCAAGGAGGUACAGCGAUAUUUGUUUGAGUUGAACCCGAAUGAUGAAGAAGAACGGGAGAAGACCAGCAACCUCCAGACCCAGCAAAAUUUGGUCUCAGAAACUGCAGGAGAGAUGGAUUAGCACAUAUCCCAGGAAGACGGCCCCCUGAAGAAUGAGUUUCAUUCUCAGGAGUUCCCUGUGACGACAAUCCUCAACAGUCAAAGACAUUCUUUGGAGCAGCCUGGAGGAAGACACUCAGCCGACAAUGUGGCCAUCUCCAGACAGGCCCCGACAAUGGCUAACAGACUUGAUGAAGACUGGAAACAUUUGCUAAUUCAGAGAGAAAAGAAGCCCCUCCAUCUACACUGUACUCUAAGGACAGUUUAUUCAGGUAAGGAAGACAUGACCUAUUGUCUCAGGUCACAGAUGUCAGCACAAAGUAUCCAAGGUAUUGUGUGCCAAUGGUAGCAUUAACAGAACAAAGCACACAGUGUCAUGAAGACAUAAUUAUGAGUAUGUGUAGCAAGACCCAGCCUCAUCCAGGUUCUUAGAUAGUAACUGAGAACCUCAAAUACAGUAGUAAUGUGAUAGUGUGGUGUGAAUCUAGUUACAACUAGCUUCUAUUUUGACACAGAUGACUCUUUUGUGUCAUGGUCAGCUUAUGAUGAAUGAGUAGAAGACCUAAGCUUGAGAAUAAGUAAAGACUACAUUGCUUCUCUAGCUGAAGAGUUUUUAAAAGCCCUGGUGUGACAGCAAAUUUUGUGGACAUUCUGGAUUAUUCCUUCUGUACUUUAACUCUCUGAGUCACCUGCACUCUCAGUAAGUUAGUUCAAUUCCAUAAAUUGGAAUUUAGUCACCUGGAAAAAAUGCUUUAUCAAUAGGAUCCCAGAUUUGCCAUGGAAAAGGGGUAGCUUGAACUGUCCCACCUAGGUUUUGGGCUUGCACAGGCCUGCUCUCCAAAAGAAAUGUGUGUUCACCGCUACAGGCUGCUUUCACUAUGGAUGCUCUUGACGUUCCUCCCUAAAUUGCUUACAUUAAGAUAAUUUUCUUUCUAUGGAAAGAAUUCAUUAUGCCAAGCUGGCAUACAGGAAUCUAGUUUCUAUUCUGUAUUUUAUAAGAUGUGCUUAAUAUAUAGAUGAUCAUCACUGAUAAUAGCUGAAAGAUCUGCUCUAAUAUGGAAACUCGGUGAUGCUGGAGGAUGAUCCUGAACCCACAAUGAGCAGUGGGGACACCAGGCCCCACUACAGAUGCCUGGCAACCUAGCACAUUGAGCAUGCACAGCUCUUUAAGUUACCUGUGAAUACACAUCUCCUGAGAUCUCUCUACUUCAUUGGAGGUGAUCCUGUCCACCUAAUACAGCACAUGCCCUGAAAGGACAAAAGCCACCUGCAGGAGCUAUGGUGACUGACUCAUAGAUUAGAGUAUCUGCUGCUCUCUCAGAAGAACCACGUGGUCCCCAGUAAUCAUCGACAACAGAUAAUGUGACACUUUUUUUAGGAGUAUCACGGAAAUUCACCCAGG
Rattus norvegicus (Norway rat) is the source of this 2026-nucleotide non-coding RNA. Lineage: Eukaryota; Metazoa; Chordata; Mammalia; Rodentia; Muridae. The record is from RefSeq and is a predicted model, not a curated record.